ACACCCCUGCCUCAGCGUCGGAG
This 23-nucleotide ribosomal RNA is filed under the name Ulvales sp. 1-BER-2007. RNAcentral describes it as "partial 5.8S ribosomal RNA". Lineage: Eukaryota; Viridiplantae; Chlorophyta; Ulvophyceae; Ulvales. The record is from RNAcentral.